CCUACGGGUGGCAGCAGUGAGGAAUAUUGGUCAAUGGCCGCAAGGCUGAACCAGCCAAGUAGCGUGAAGGAUGACUGCCCUACGGGUUGUAAACUUCUUUUAUAGAGGAAUAAAGUUAGGCACGUGUGCCUUUUUGUAUGUACUUUAUGAAUAAGGAUCGGCUAACUCCGUGCCAGCAGCCGCGGUAAUACGGAGGAUUCGAGCGUUAUCCGGAUUUAUUGGGUUUAAAGGGAGCGUAGAUGGGUUGUUAAGUCAGUGGUGAAAGUUUGUGGCUCAACCGUAAAAUUGCAAUUGAUACUGGCAGUCUUGAGUACAGUUGAGGUAGGCGGAAUGCGUGGUGUAGCGGUGAAAUGCUUAGAUAUCACGAAGAACUCCGAUUGCGAAGGCAGCUUACUAAACUGUCACUGACAUUGAUGCUCGAAAGUGUGGGUAUCAAACAGGAUUAGAUACCCUAGUAGUC
RNAcentral lists this ribosomal RNA (460 nucleotides) under uncultured bacterium. Its description in RNAcentral is "partial 16S ribosomal RNA". It matches the Rfam family "Bacterial small subunit ribosomal RNA", at positions 338 to 795 of the family's 1533-position model. The record is from RNAcentral.